Molecule: non-coding RNA, 23 nt
Filed under: Mus musculus (house mouse)
Lineage: Eukaryota; Metazoa; Chordata; Mammalia; Rodentia; Muridae
Source: RNAcentral
UAAAUAAGGGUAAAGAUGGGCAC